GACGAACGCUGGCGGCGUGCUUAACACAUGCCAGUCGAACGGAAAGGCCCUGCUUUUGUGGGGUGCUCGAGUGGCGAACGGGUGAGUAACACGUGAGUAACCUGCCCUUGACUUUGGGAUAACUUCAGGAAACUGGGGCUAAUACCGGAUAGGAGCUCCUGCUGCAUGGUGGGGGUUGGAAAGUUUCGGCGGUUGGGGAUGGACUCGCGGCUUAUCAGCUUGUUGGUGGGGUAGUGGCUUACCAAGGCUUUGACGGGUAGCCGGCCUGAGAGGGUGACCGGCCACAUUGGGACUGAGAUACGGCCCAGACGCCUACGGGAGGCAGCAGUGGGGAAUAUUGCACAAUGGGCGGAAGCCUGAUGCAGCAACGCCGCGUGCGGGAUGACGGCCUUCGGGUUGUAAACCGCUUUCGCCUGUGACGAAGCGUGAGUGACGGUAAUGGGUAAAGAAGCACCGGCUAACUACGU
RNAcentral lists this ribosomal RNA (467 nucleotides) under uncultured bacterium. RNAcentral's name for it is "partial 16S ribosomal RNA". It matches the Rfam family "Bacterial small subunit ribosomal RNA", at positions 28 to 506 of the family's 1533-position model. The record is from RNAcentral.